Molecule: long non-coding RNA, 642 nt
Organism: Engraulis encrasicolus (European anchovy)
Lineage: Eukaryota; Metazoa; Chordata; Actinopteri; Clupeiformes; Engraulidae
Exons: 3
Source: RefSeq, a predicted model, not a curated record
UCCCCCUUACUAGACCGCCCUCACAGUAACGCCCCUUUGGCUGUUCAAGUUUCUGAACUCAGUGACAUGCUACCGAAUGACAACACAAGCGCCGCGCGGGACUUUUAAAAACGACUCACUGGAUGGAUUUCGCUGCAGCGAUCACUCAACUGUCGAUAUAAGAAGUUGGGGUUGAUGAUCCACAUGAUGGUGAUGGACCAGGACAGCUCUGGACCUCCUGACUGGCAGCUCCAUCCUCAACCUCUCUUCCUGCCCUUCACACAUGUGCAGGCAGCCAGUUUUCUGAAAGAUGGUUGAUGUCAGUACCAACAUGUUGUGAUGGAGGCUUCCACCUGAGCUGAACACAGAAACUUGCACACAGUGGUGAGUAAAUCACUGAAUCUGUUUUGUUCUGCACUAGACCAAUACAGUAAUUCCUUCAUGUGCUGUGUUUAUUUAUAGCAGAACUUGUGUAUAGAGGAUAAUACAAAACACUGGCACAGUAGUAGUGACCCCUGUACAGGCCAGAAGCUCUGUAUCUCUUCAGCCUGGUGUUCUGCAUUAAAAUGAUGGGUGUGAUUUUUAUGUAGUGUAUUCUAUGUAUACCCUCUCGUGUGUGUGUGUGUGUGUGUGUGUGUGUGUGUGUGUGUGUGUGUGUGUGUG